GAUGAAGAACGCAGCGAAAUGCGAUAAGUAAUGUGAAUUGCAGAAUUCAGUGAAUCAUCGAAUCUUUGAACGCACAUUGCGCCCGCUAGUAUUCUGGCGGGCAUGCCUGUCCGAGCGUCAUUUCAACCCUCAAGCCCCCGGGCUUGGUGUUGGGGAUCGGCGAGCCUCCGCGCCCGCCGUCCCCUAAAUCUAGUGGCGGUCUCGCUGUAGCUUCCUCUGCGUAGUAGCACACCUCGCACUGGGAAACAGCGCGGCCACGCCGUUAAACCCCCAACUUCUGAACGUUUGACCUCGGAUCAGGUAGGAAUACCCGCUGAACUUAAGAAUAUCAAUAAGCGGAGGA
This 343-nucleotide unclassified non-coding RNA is filed under the name soil metagenome. RNAcentral describes it as "partial contains 5.8S ribosomal RNA, internal transcribed spacer 2, and large subunit ribosomal RNA". The stretch from base 1 to 120 matches the Rfam family "5.8S ribosomal RNA", at positions 35 to 154 of the family's 154-position model. The record is from RNAcentral.